GAUGAACGCUGGCGGCGUGCCUAAUACAUGCAAGUCGAGCGAAUGAUGAGGAGCUUGCUCCUCUGAUUUAGCGGCGGACGGGUGAGUAACACGUGGGUAAUCUGCCUGUAAGACGGGAAUAACUACGGGAAACCGGGGCUAAUACCGGAUAACAAGAGAAGAAGCAUUUCUUCUUUUUGAAAGUCGGUUUUGGCUGAAACUUACAGAUGAGCACGCGGGGCAUUAGCUAGUUGGUGAGGUAACGGCUCACCAAGGCGACGAUGCGUAGCCGACCUGAGAGGGUGAUCGGCCACACUGGGACUGAGACACGGCCCAGACUCCUACGGGAGGCAGCAGUAGGGAAUCUUCGGCAAUGGGCGAAAGCCUGACCGAGCAACGCCGCGUGAGCGAUGAAGGCCUUCGGGUCGUAAAGCUCUGUUGUUAGAGAAGAACAAGUACGAGAGUAACUGCUCGUACCUUGACGGUACCUAACCAGAAAGCCACGGCUAACUACGUGCCAGCAGCCGCGGUAA
RNAcentral lists this ribosomal RNA (512 nucleotides) under uncultured bacterium. RNAcentral describes it as "partial 16S ribosomal RNA". It matches the Rfam family "Bacterial small subunit ribosomal RNA", at positions 28 to 523 of the family's 1533-position model. The record is from RNAcentral.